UUGCUAUAUAUUUUUGAUAUUAUUUAAAAAAAAACGUUGCGUUCCAGUUUAGUGAAAUGGUUCGCCAUACAUUAGUUAUUAUAUUAUUUGCAAUAACGUUUAUUUUUGAAUUUCUUGGCCUAGCUCUAACCUAUUGGUAUCGUAAAUCUUUCUGUGUACAAGGUCGUGAGAUAGAAUGGAUUGUAAUGCCUUUUAUGCUGCUUGUCCCAAGCUGUGUAAUAAUGAACUUGAGUUUACUUAUAAUAGUUAUAUUAUUUGAAGAUAUGGGACUGGACCCGGUGGUAAAUAAAUAAUCUAUUGUACAUAAUUUAAUAAUGGGUACCAUAGAAGGCAUCACAGGAAUUAUAAUGCUCAUAGCUAUAGUCUUCAACUGCGGAAACUCUGCAAUUAUCGUCUAUGUAAUAUCAGGAAUUUUUGUUAUAAUAGCUGCGAUACUACAUUUAAUAUUAUCAUCACGUGGAAUUAAAGAUUUUCUAUCAUAUAUAUAAUAUAUA
Teleopsis dalmanni is the source of this 494-nucleotide RNA transcript. RefSeq lists it as uncharacterized. The transcript has 3 exons. Lineage: Eukaryota; Metazoa; Arthropoda; Insecta; Diptera; Diopsidae. The record is from RefSeq and is a predicted model, not a curated record.